RNAcentral lists this microRNA (21 nucleotides) under Mus musculus (house mouse). Its description in RNAcentral is "mmu-miR-6381". Lineage: Eukaryota; Metazoa; Chordata; Mammalia; Rodentia; Muridae. The record is from miRBase by way of RNAcentral.
CAGGAUGCUGGUGACAUGAGU